CUUUCAGGUGUGGAACAGCCAUGUUACUCAGCACCACAGGGUCUUUCCUCACGAUGCUGUUUGCUCCGCCUGGGCUAACCACUCCUGUGUUCGUAAGCAUGAUUGGAGAGUGUGUGAGUCACGGCCCCAGAGGCCUCCAGCACCAGAGAAUCAGCAUAAAUGAGUGAACCUGGAAGAGAAUGUCCCGUCCAUGAAGACAGGAUGUGCGUUCUGCACUGCCCACUGCAGCUGGAACUCAGGACAGAUGAGGAAACGGAGAUUCAGAUGAGUCAAGGAUUCACUCUUAUAAUCUCAACACUUGUGUUGAAGUUCACGUUCUUUCCAUUGUCUGCAUACUGCCUCUUCUCUACCUGUGGGACAGUGAUCUGCACCCAGUAUACAUUCAUUCACUAUUUGCAGAGUCAAAAGGAUAUCAGUAAACCUGGCGCAGGGGAAAAAAAGAGAAAAUUUGUUUUAAAAUAAAGUGUCAAGGUGAUGCAGAAUAUGCAAAAGCACAGAGAAGGACAAAAGUUGAGUGUGUAAAAUGUUAGAAAAGUAAAAAUCCUGCCAACAAAGAGAGACCUCUUCACACCACUAUGGAAAGACAGACACCUGAUUUAUUACUAAGCUCUCCUGGUCACGACAGACCUGCUCGCUAAUGAUGCCUGAGAGAACCUGCAUAGGCAGAUGCUCCUGAUGCGUCAUUUCCAAAGGGUGGCCGGCUUAGGACUGUGAAAGCUCUCCUGGAACCUGCCUAGAAGAACAGUAAUUUAGCCUUGGGGAAGCCCUGGCGCAGGCUGCAAGCAUGUGUUUCUAAGGUGUAGUCAACAUGCCAAGAGCCCCAGGAACCCACGUGAGAACCAGCCCUCGGCCAGGCAAGCACGGUGAGGACAACUCUAGGCAGCCCUCCAGUUUCAAACCCCCAAUGGAUUUUCCUUUACAACUGGAAUCAACCUUUUUAUGUGUUUAAUUUUUGGACUCAGAUGGCUAGGUAAAAGCCUUUUAAACAAUCGUCAGAAAGCUCCAGGCCCAACUUCCUGUGAGCUUCCUUUACUCACACAUCCUCUGGACUCAUUAAAUCUUAUCUGUGACAAAAGACAGUGCCCAACAUUUCCUCUCCAGCUGAGCCUUUGGCCCAAGAGCAUCCAAAGAACUAACACUUUUGAGUCAGGGCCAAGCCACAGACUCGGCAGCAGUCACAGCCAUGGCGAGGACAGAGAGCUGAUGAGGCCCGGGGUCACCAGGGCUCUCUCCAGCAGGAAGCCGGAGCUCCUGUGAUGACAUGGACACAGGAUUUAUAACAUGGGAAGGCUGAACCGGAGCUGUGUGAAGGACACAGAUGAUGUCACAAGUACUUCAGGGGCUGGGCUCUACCGCUGGUUGCUUCGGCUGAGGCACAAGUGUGGUUGGAAAUUGUAAGCAUUCGAGACGUGGGUCAACUCAAGCCAAGAAAUAUUUGCCAGAUUUACUCCCAUUCAUCUCUCUUCAUUCAUAUUGUCGUGCUUUCUUCUCAAAUGGAUUUUGACACAGAUGUUGGAAACAAGUGGACAGAGAAAAAAGACUCUCAGAUUUAUUGAGUAUCCAUUGUCCAGACUGCAGGGUUUUGGUGUUUUCCUUGACCUUGUGUCUACGGGAUUGGUACCAUGGCACGCAGUGUGUGACUGUCAUCUAGCUGGAGGCAGCUUCUGCAAUAAAGGGUCUCGUGCACUGUGUGCACUGUGUGAAAGUAAGGUAGUGAUCAGCAAGUAUUCUGCUCUGGUGACAGCAUUCUGGCUAGUAUGGUAACGAAACUUUACCUGAUUUUACCUGAAAUGACUCUAGCAAGAUUUACCUGUUUCGUAUAAGCUGAGUAUGUGGCUCUUUCUUUUGAGAAUAUCAGACAUAUAUAGGAGUGAAUCAAAAGUGUUUCUCUCUCUCUCUCCUUCUGUAGAGAUAUACUAUUUUACAUAAAGCUAGUACAACUGCAGAGUGAAUGCUACUGGAUAUUUUUUCCUAGAGUAUUCUGUACUCCAGGAAAUUAUAAACUUCCAAUUGAGAAGUACAGACUAUUAGCUGAUUGGACACUUAUUUUAUUUCAGUAUUUAUUAUUAAGUCUAGCCAAAGUUAUAAUAACAAUGAAGCUAUUUUCUCUAAAACAAAGAAAUAUUUUAAACAAAAGAAAGACACCAUCCUGUAGUCCUUAAAUCACAGACAGUACCUUUUAUGCAUAUCUAUUUGCCCAUUAAUACUCUGAUCAAAAGAGCCUGUCCAGACAAUGAGAAAGUGUAUAAAUUUAAUGAAAUGUCAUGUUAUUUCUGGUAUGACUUGUUUUUCUGGACAAGGUGGUAUAGAGGACAGCCAGAGAGAGAAAACAUUGACUGAAAAGACUAGAGUCAUGCUGAUAACUUUUUCAGAGAAACCAUGGAGGGGUCUGCCUGGUUGAGAUAAAAAAUCAGAAAUAAAAGGAGGUGAAC
Molecule: long non-coding RNA, 2432 nt
Organism: Diceros bicornis minor
Lineage: Eukaryota; Metazoa; Chordata; Mammalia; Perissodactyla; Rhinocerotidae
Exons: 6
Source: RefSeq, a predicted model, not a curated record